Molecule: long non-coding RNA, 888 nt
Filed under: Olea europaea subsp. europaea
Lineage: Eukaryota; Viridiplantae; Streptophyta; Magnoliopsida; Lamiales; Oleaceae
Source: RNAcentral
GUCGACAGAUUAAUUUACUUGACUGUUUUGAGGCUGAAUAUAACAUAUGCUGUAUAUGUCCUGAGUAGAUUUAUGCACCAACCUCGAAAACUCCAUAUGGAGGCAGCUCUUCGGGUCGUCCGAUAUCUAAAAGGUGCUCUUGGAAAAGGUCUCUUCUUCUCUUCGAAUAGUGAUUUCAAGUUGAGAGCUUACUGUGACUCGGAUUGGGUAGGCCGCCCACUCACUAGGAGAUCUACUACGAGUUAUUGUGUCUUUCUUGGACCUUCAUUGAUAUCUUAGAGGUCGAGACGACAGAAAACAGUUUCACUUUCUUCUACUGAGGCGGAAUACCGUGCAACGACAGGAGCCUACUGUGAGUUGACAUGGCUUCGAUAUCUAUUGAAAGACUUGGGACUUUCACAUCAUGAACCUACUUUGCUUUAUUGUGAUAACAAGGCUGCCUGACACAUUGUAGCCAAUCCAAUUUUUCAUGAGCGAACUAGGCACAUUGAGAUGGAUUGCCAUUACAUUAGAGAUAAGAUCCAAGAUGGUUCUGUGACUACAAAAUAUGUAAAUUCUACACAUCAACUAGCAGAUGUCUUGAAAAAGUCCUUGGGGAAAGAGAUUUUUGUUCCUAUGAUUCACAAGUUGGGAGUGCGAGAUAUCCACUCUCCAACUUGAGGGGGAGUAUUAGGAAAUAAAGCUGUAUAUAUUAUCUUUCUUAUUUGUAGCAUAUUAUCUUUCCUAUUGUAUUGCCUAACUUUUAGCUAGACAACUCAUAAUCCCUGAUUUGUAGGAGUAGUCAAUUUUUCUUCCUAUAUAAAUACACGAUAGAGUAUCAAUAAUAUUUAUUCAAGCAAAUUCAAUAUCUCUUCCAUCUUUUCAUCUAAUCAUUUUUGGCCAAAUGUC